UACAGAGGGUGCGAGCGUUAAUCGGAAUUACUGGGCGUAAAGCGUGCGCAGGCGGCGCGUUAAGACAGGUGUGAAAGCCCCGAGCUUAACUUGGGAAUUGCGCUUGUGACUGGCGUGCUGGAGUGUGGCAGAGGUAGGUGGAAUUCCACGUGUAGCAGUGAAAUGCGUAGAGAUGUGGAGGAACACCGAUGGCGAAGGCAGCCUCCUGGGCCAGCACUGACGCUCAUGCACGAAAGCGUGGGGAGCAAACAGG
This 253-nucleotide ribosomal RNA is filed under the name uncultured bacterium. RNAcentral describes it as "partial 16S ribosomal RNA". It matches the Rfam family "Bacterial small subunit ribosomal RNA", at positions 524 to 776 of the family's 1533-position model. The record is from RNAcentral.